Molecule: ribosomal RNA, 867 nt
Filed under: Piedraia hortae
Lineage: Eukaryota; Fungi; Ascomycota; Dothideomycetes; Capnodiales; Piedraiaceae
Also listed under: 1 other name
Description: eukaryotic LSU rRNA
Rfam family: Eukaryotic large subunit ribosomal RNA
Source: RNAcentral
AGGAAAAGAAACCAACAGGGAUUGCCUCAGUAACGGCGAGUGAAGCGGCAACAGCUCAAAUUUGAAAUCGGGCGCCCGCCCGAGUUGUAAUUUGCAGAGGAUGCUUCUGGGCAGCGAGCCGGUCUAAGUCUCUUGGAACAGGGCGUCAUAGAGGGUGAGAAUCCCGUAUGCGACCGGCCGCGCACCCUCCACGAAGCUCCUUCGACGAGUCGAGUUGUUUGGGAAUGCAGCUCAAAAUGGGAGGUAAAUGUCUUCUAAAGCUAAAUACCGGCCAGAGACCGAUAGCGCACAAGUAGAGUGAUCGAAAGAUGAAAAGCACUUUGGAAAGAGAGUCAAACAGCACGUGAAAUUGUUGAAAGGGAAGCGCAUGCGCCCAGACGCGUCGGCGGCGUUCCGCCGGUCUUCUUGACCAGGCUCACUUCGCCGCCGACGGGCCAGCAUCGCUUGGGCGCGCCGGAAAAAGGCGCGGGGAAUGUGGCCCCCUUCGGGGGGUGUUAUAGCCUCGCGCGCCAUGCGGCGACGCCCGAGCGAGGACCGCGCUUCGGCGAGGAUGCUGGCGUAAUGGGCGCCUGCGGCCCGUCUUGAAACACGGACCAAGGAGUCUAACAUCUACGCGAGUGUUUGGGUGUCAAACCCCGACGCGCAAUGAAAGUGAACGGAGGUGGGAACCUUUGCGGGUGCACCAUCGACCGAUCCUGAUGUCUUCGGAUGGAUUUGAGUAAGAGCGUAGCUGUUGGGACCCGAAAGAUGGUGAACUAUGCCUGAAUAGGGUGAAGCCAGAGGAAACUCUGGUGGAGGCUCGCAGCGGUUCUGACGUGCAAAUCGAUCGUCAAAUUUGGGUAUAGGGGCGAAAGACUAAUCGAACCA